UAACGCGUGAGGAACCUACCUUCCAGAGGGGGACAACAGUUGGAAACGACUGCUAAUACCGCAUGACGCAUGACCGGGGCAUCCCGGGCAUGUCAAAGAUUUUAUCGCUGGAAGAUGGCCUCGCGUCUGAUUAGCUAGAUGGUGGGGUAACGGCCCACCAUGGCGACGAUCAGUAGCCGGACUGAGAGGUUGACCGGCCACAUUGGGACUGAGAUACGGCCCAGACUCCUACGGGAGGCAGCAGUGGGGAAUAUUGGGCAAUGGACGCAAGUCUGACCCAGCAACGCCGCGUGAAGGAAGAAGGCUUUCGGGUUGUAAACUUCUUUUGUCAGGGAAGAGUAGAAGACGGUACCUGACGAAUAAGCCACGGCUAACUACGUGCCAGCAGCCGCGGUAAUACGUAGGUGGCAAGCGUUGUCCGGAUUUACUGGGUGUAAAGGGCGUGCAGCCGGGCCGGCAAGUCAGAUGUGAAAUCCGGAGGCUUAACCUCCAAACUGCAUUUGAAACUGUAGGUCUUGAGUACCGGAGAGGUUAUCGGAAUUCCUUGUGUAGCGGUGAAAUGCGUAGAUAUAAGGAAGAACACCAGUGGCGAAGGCGGAUAACUGGACGGCAACUGACGGUGAGGCGCGAAAGCGUGGGGAGCAAACAGAAUUAGAUACCCUGGUAGUCCACGCUGUAAACGAUGGAUACUAGGUGU
Molecule: ribosomal RNA, 697 nt
Filed under: uncultured bacterium
Lineage: Bacteria
Description: bacterial SSU rRNA
Rfam family: Bacterial small subunit ribosomal RNA
Source: RNAcentral